RNAcentral lists this ribosomal RNA (427 nucleotides) under uncultured bacterium. RNAcentral's name for it is "partial 16S ribosomal RNA". It matches the Rfam family "Bacterial small subunit ribosomal RNA", at positions 355 to 774 of the family's 1533-position model. The record is from RNAcentral.
UGGGGAAUAUUGGACAAUGGGCGAAAGCCUGAUCCAGCCAUGCCGCGUGUGUGAAGAAGGUCUUCGGAUUGUAAAGCACUUUAAGUUGGGAGGAAGGGCAUUAACCUAAUACGUUAGUGUUUUGACGUUACCGACAGAAUAAGCACCGGCUAACUCUGUGCCAGCAGCCGCGGUAAUACAGAGGGUGCAAGCGUUAAUCGGAAUUACUGGGCGUAAAGCGCGCGUAGGUGGUUUGUUAAGUUGGAUGUGAAAGCCCCGGGCUCAACCUGGGAACUGCAUCCAAAACUGGCAAGCUAGAGUACGGUAGAGGGUGGUGGAAUUUCCUGUGUAGCGGUGAAAUGCAUAGAUAUAGGAAGGAACACCAGUGGCGAAGGCGACCACCUGGACUGAUACUGACACUGAGGUGCGAAAGCGUGGGGAGCAAACA